Molecule: ribosomal RNA, 468 nt
Filed under: uncultured bacterium
Lineage: Bacteria
Description: partial 16S ribosomal RNA
Rfam family: Bacterial small subunit ribosomal RNA
Source: RNAcentral
GACGAACGCUGGCGGCGUGCUUAACACAUGCAAGUCGAACGGAAAGGCCCUGCUUUUGUGGUGUGCUCGAGUGGCGAACGGGUGAGUAACACGUGAGUAACCUGCCCUUGACUUUGGGAUAACUUCAGGAAACUGGGGCUAAUACCGGAUAGGAGCUCCUGCUGCAUGGUGGGGGUUGGAAAGUUUCGGCGGUUGGGGAUGGACUCGCGGCUUAUCAGCUUGUUGGUGGGGUAGUGGCUUACCAAGGCUUUGACGGGUAGCCGGCCUGAGAGGGUGACCGGCCACAUUGGGACUGAGGUACGGCCAGGACUCGUACGGGAGGCAGCAGUGGGGAAUAUUGCACAAUGGGCGGAGGCCUGAUGCAGCAACGCCGCGUGCGGGAUGACCGCUGUCGGGUUGUAAACCGCUUUCGCCUGUGACGAAGCGUGAGUGACGGUAAUGGGUAAAGAAGCACCGGCUAACUCCGUG